GAUGAAGAACGUAGCGAAAUGCGAUAAGUAAUGUGAAUUGCAGAAUUCAGUGAAUCAUCGAAUCUUUGAACGCACAUUGCGCCCGCCAGUAUUCUGGCGGGCAUGCCUGUUCGAGCGUCAUUUCAACCCUCAAGCCCCCGGGCUUGGUGUUGGGGAUCGGCGUGCCCUCGCGGCGCGCCGUCCCCUAAAUCUAGUGGCGGUCUCGCUGUAGCUUCCUCUGCGUAGUAGCAACACUCGCACUGNNNNNNNGCGCGGCCACGCCGUUAAACCCCCCACUUCUGAAAGUUUGACCUCGGAUCAGGUAGGAAUACCCGCUGAACUUAAGCAUAUCAAUAAGCGGAGGA
RNAcentral lists this unclassified non-coding RNA (344 nucleotides) under soil metagenome. RNAcentral's name for it is "partial contains 5.8S ribosomal RNA, internal transcribed spacer 2, and large subunit ribosomal RNA". The stretch from base 1 to 120 matches the Rfam family "5.8S ribosomal RNA", at positions 35 to 154 of the family's 154-position model. The record is from RNAcentral.